ACGAAUGACUUGAGACCAGUCAUCCUCCUAAUUAAGUAGAUAUAGUGCAUGAUGGUUUUUACGGAUCGUCAAUAAUGUUGAGUUGAGUGAUCCUAUGACUAGGAACAUGUUAGGGUAUGAGCUUGAGAGGAAGGGUCUCAUGGAUCUAACUUCUUUAGAACACUGUCCUCGUCUCAUAGCCCAAUGGACUUAUCAUUCAACAUGUUCAACAUAUAUAGCUGUCAAUACUACACUUGUAAACAUAUACUUAAAGUCCACACCAUUCUUGAGAUAAGCUUCAAUACAUAUCUUUCAAUACACGGGUGUUCAGAUACCAUGUCGACCACAACAACGAUAAACCAGC
This 343-nucleotide long non-coding RNA is filed under the name Prunus persica (peach). Its description in RNAcentral is "long non-coding RNA (PPER_LNC003330)". Lineage: Eukaryota; Viridiplantae; Streptophyta; Magnoliopsida; Rosales; Rosaceae. The record is from RNAcentral.